Long non-coding RNA from Motacilla alba alba, 4084 nucleotides. RefSeq lists it as uncharacterized. The record is from RefSeq and is a predicted model, not a curated record. NCBI's taxonomy places the organism in Eukaryota, Metazoa, Chordata, Aves, Passeriformes, Motacillidae. The transcript has 4 exons.
CCUGUAAGUUAGUGGUUUAUAAUUCAUAUGUAAAUGCAAACACUUCAAAAUAAUCUGUCUUUGAAUUUGAGGAGAUAGUGUGUGCAGAGGAAUAAAAAUAUUAGCUUUUUCCCCCAGAUUAGGAAUGACAGUCCAUUUCUUCUCAUGGACCUUAUAUAGACUCAGUCCUGUAGUAUAUUUGAUAGCAUCCUUUGCUAAAAAUUGUUCUACCUUUGACAGACGUGGCCCUAAGUGUGCGGAGGCUGUGACAUUCAUAGCACAAUGUAUGACAGCUGAAAAAACAGAGGAUUCAUCUUUCUGAUUCCCUUAAAAUAAAGGGAGGGAAUCACACAGGCUUUGUAAGGAUAUAUGCCUCCUCUAGAAGAAACCAAAAGACUGGGUUUUUUGAGUUAUAGUAAUGGCAAAAAAAAAAAACAACUUGACACAAUUACCAUGUGAUCUAUUCAAAAUAUUGAACAAACUUUAACUAAUGCGUCAAUAAGAUCAGUGAUUUGACAUGGUGUUUUUCUACUUACUUUAUCUAUGUCUUUAGUUAAAAACAAAUAAUGUAUAUAUACAGUAUAUGCCAUUGAACAAAACUGGAUCAGAGAACAAAACACAGCUUUGAGUGCUUCCAUGACAAAAAAUAUACAGAAUGUAGUAUGGAAUGCAAGAUAAGGAGGGCCACAGUGGCUUAGGACUAUUCUAUUUUCUCCUAGACUAAAUUUAUUUCAGUUAGGUUGACUGGAAGUAAUUUUAUUGCUGUGCUAAAAGGAGACAAAUUUUUUAACUGAGCAUAACAUUUUACAGAAAAAAAGCACUAAACAAAAAGAUGCCCCAACACUCCUGGAAGGUAUAGAAGUGACCACUUUGAAAGCAGGAGGGAAAAAAUUUUGAUAGAUGAAGAAAUCCAGGGAAAAAUGAGAAGGAGAUUUAAAAUACCCAAAUAUAACUGUAUAAUAAAUUUUAAGAUAACCAAAAAUCUCACACAGGGGAGAGUGUUACUGUCGGGGGUGUGAGGCUUACAGUGGGUUUACAUAGCAAACGUGUUGUAUCACAAGAAUGACUAUUCUAAUUGGGUUUUUUUAGCAUAAUGAUAUUUAAAAAAUAUUUUUUCAUAGUAUUCUCUGAGAAAGUAAUUGUCAAAAUUAUACAGAAAGUAGUCAAAAUGAAAAAAAAAUCAGUAAUGAAUAGAUAAGGUUUUAUUGUGGCUUUUUCACAGUAAUUUUCUGUAAAACAGUACUAUGCUCAGAUAAAGUUAGUGCAGUGGAUAAUUCUCAGGCAUUUGACUGUACUUUCAAGUGGAUGCUUUAUAUUCUAAUUCAACACUUGUGUUGUACGGCAGGUAGUAUUGCCUUACUUUCUUGUUUUGUUACCUAUAUUAUUUCAUGAAAUUUCAUGCUUAUUUCAUGAAAGUAGGAGUCUUCAAAACAGAUGUAUAGUUUGUUCUGGACUAGGAUAUCUGCAUUAACACAUAUUUGCAAAAGCACCAACAUUAGCAUUUUUGGUAGUUCCAUUUCUGUCAUGGUAGCAAAGACUUACCUACCUGCAUUUUCACAGGUCACACAAACAUUGAUGGAAUAAGGUUUUUGCCCUAAACUAGGGUUGUGAUUUCUUAAUGCUGCUCUAUUGUUUUGACUCUGUUCAGUUCCACAGAAAUAAAGCAUGGUGAAGACCUAAUAGGUCACCUUAUGUUUUUCUAUGCCACUGAGGGAUUAUUCCUUAAAGUGUUUUAUCUUGAAAAGAACAGGAGCCCACUACUGCCCCGGUAAAUUUUUCAACAGUACAACAGAACUCACUUUGUUCAUCGUACAUUUGAUUUUUCUUCAUAUCAUUCAGAUACUUCCAUUUAAUGAAAAUAAUCUGACAAACAGAAAAUAUCAUUUUUCCAGACACAUUUCCAGACACUUGGAACCCAAUUCUGCAGUCACUACUAAUGUACAAUGAUGAAAAAUUAGUCUCCAAGUAUAAUUCUGCAAGAUGCUGGGCACACCCUGUGAAGUUUUGCACGUCUCUCAAACUCAUCACCCUGUGGUGGAAUUCCAGACCCUUUUGCCUUUGUAUGAAGACUUCCUGAUAACAUUAUCCUACCUUAUUUGACCUAGAUAUUUGACCUUCUUCUGGCCUCUUUUUUUUACUAACAGUGUUACCCAUGGUGCCCUGGCUGCCUUCCUCGCCUGUGUUGUUUUGUCUCUUCCUCUCCAUUCACAUCCUCAGCAAACUGAUACCCACCUUCUUCUUAGGAAGAGCCAUGGGGAAUUCCAGGUUUUGCCAUCACAAUUAAAGCAAGGUGCAAUGAUAUCCUUGCCUAUGCAGCAGAGUAACUUCCUUGCUGUCAUUCUUAGUUACCUUACUGGAUUUCUAUAAACUCUUAAUUGAGAAGUUCCUCAAGGGCUGCUUGCAAGAUUGCUGAUGUAUUUGGCCUAGUGCUAAAAACGAGCAUGGCUAGUGACCUAUCUUCCUGAGAAAGAUGGCUGAGAUGUCUUUGAAAUUAUUCCUGGAAUUAGACUAGCAUUAGAUCUCCUCUACCAAACUGAGGUAAUACUGUUGAAAGGCAAGAAAUCUGAAGUGAUGUAUGUCCAACUGCCUGUGCAUUGACAAUGUUAACUGUGAAAAAGAUUCCCCAUGCCUGGGGCCAAAGGAAGCAGUCAGAAUGGGUAAACCUGAGGACAUCAGUCUCUUCUGAGGGAUAUUUGGUUGGUGAAGCCAAAAGCUUUUCCAGGUAAUUUCUAGGUGCAGGUUUUAUCAACGAUGAUAGCCCAGACUUCUGCCAUAAUGAAGCACCUUCUUGGGGGUUAACUAACUAGUUACUUACCUAACAAUACUCAGCAUAAGUGCAAGCACAGGAGUGGUGUUGCUUUUGGUUAGUUUGUAGAGCCUUUAAAACCUCAGAGAUUCCACUAUGAGAAAAUCAGACAAUUUAAAAUGAUAGCGUAGGCAGUAAAAUUAUGUAGCGUAUUGCUGCUAAGCCUUCUGCUUGAAAAUUCACAAAUUCUGCUUGCUUUAACUCUUCACCAGAUCAGGUUUUGGUUACAAUUCUUUUCUAUCAGGGUGGACCUGACAUAAAAUGAUGUCAAAGUCAGCCACAUUAGGAUUACACAUAUAAAUAAGACAAGUACAAUUUGCCAAGUGAUAUGUAUGAAAAUAAAUUUUCUUGCUACGGAAUGAUUUUUUUGAAAAGUUUUCUUUAAAUGGUAUUAGCUAGAAAGCAGCAGAAAAUAUGCCCUGGUCCGAGGUACAUCUGUCUCCUUCUGUUUCAUCAAGGUUACAUAAGUUAUGUAUGGCAUUUUCAUUAUGGAUAGUAGUCUGGCCUUAGAAAGAUAUUAAUUAUUAUGAAAUGUCUUUCAUUAAUUGUUGCUCCCUUGUGAGUAUUUUAAAAAUUGUUUGUGUUGAAAGAGUAAAUGAUAAACACUAUUAAGAUCUCUGUAGUGUAAAAUGAAAUACUGCCUCUCCUAAUAAUUUCAGCAAAAUUGGUACCAUUUAAACUAUGUUUAAUUAUUGUUUAAUUAUUUAAUUAUGUUAUAUGUAUAUUGUGCUUCUGCCACCUUUGUUGGGAGGAGAAAUAACUUCCCAACAUUACUGUUGGCAUUAUGCAACCUGAAAAAUGUGCACCCCUCAAAAAAUCAGGGUGCUAAAAUUACUAUCACAAAACAAAUUAAAAUGCGAAACCCAUUGAAAACAAUAUGCUUCAUGUUUAGAAAUUCCAUUUACUCCAAAGGCGUGACCUGAUUUCAGCGGGAAGUCUAUAAACAGGAGGUUGAAAAUCUAGGUUCUUAAUAACAAAAUCCUCACUUCAAAAAAACAUAGGACAAAGGAUCAAACUGAAUUAAGAAAAGUGUGAACAAAAAUGUUUUUCACAAAUCUGUCAAUGUCAGUAAUUUCUUUCAGUUGUCAAAACUCAUGUUUACAGAAGUUAAUUCAAAGAUAAAAAAUAUUUUAUGUACUAGGAAGAUUUAUAGGUAUCUAAACAUUUCUUAAAGACAAAAGUUGCUGCACUUCCUAAUAACUGUCUCAAUUGCACAUCUGUUGUCAAGUUAAAAUAUGUUACAAUACAUAUAUUUUUAUAUAUACAGUUCUCUUUAAGAGGAAGUAUACACAAAAUUGU